GGGGGCACCCUGAUCAGCCAUGCCGCGUGAGUGAAGAAGGCCUGCGGGUUGUAAAGCUCUUUCGGUGAGGAAGAAAGUGUUAGGGUGAAUAUCCCUGACGAAUGACGGUACCUGACUAAAAAGCACCGGCUAACUCCGUGCCAGCAGCCGCGGUAAUACGUAGGGUGCGAGCGUUAAUCGGAAUUACUGGGCGUAAAGCGUGCGCAGGCGGAUGCGUAAGUCAGAUGUGAAAUCCCCGGGCUUAACCUGGGAACUGCGUUGGAUACUGCGCGGCUAGAGUAUGGCAGAGGGGGGUAGAAUUCCUGGUGUAGCAGUGAAAUGCGUAGAUAUGUGAAGGAACACCGAUGGCGAAGGCAGCCCCCUGGGCCAAAACUGACGCUCAUGCACGAAAGCGUGGGGAGCAAACAGGAUUAGAUACCCUGGUAGUCCACGCCCUAAACGAUGUCAACUAGUUGUCGGGGAGGGUGACCUCUUUGGUAACGCAGCUAAC
This 490-nucleotide ribosomal RNA is filed under the name bacterium B10H5. RNAcentral's name for it is "bacterial SSU rRNA". It matches the Rfam family "Bacterial small subunit ribosomal RNA", at positions 374 to 856 of the family's 1533-position model. The record is from RNAcentral.